CCAGGAGUACGGGAUGGCCAAAUGGUGGCAUAUCUACGAUCAGAUUGUGCUGAUGCUGGACUGGCCUGGAGGUGGUCAACAGGAUACCUUGGAAGCCUGCAUCAACACCCUACACGCAUGCCGCCUCCAGGGCGGAGGCGACCAGGACUGCAGGAGGAGGUGGAAGGCGGCCUACCUGGAGCUGCCUACCGGUGCUAAUCCCAAGCUCACUGUAUAGAACUCAAAGGGACUGACUUGGGGGAUUCCAAGG
Triticum aestivum (bread wheat) is the source of this 250-nucleotide long non-coding RNA. RefSeq lists it as uncharacterized. The transcript has 3 exons. Lineage: Eukaryota; Viridiplantae; Streptophyta; Magnoliopsida; Poales; Poaceae. The record is from RefSeq and is a predicted model, not a curated record.